RNAcentral lists this long non-coding RNA (287 nucleotides) under Daucus carota (carrot). RNAcentral's name for it is "long non-coding RNA (DCAR_LNC007357)". Lineage: Eukaryota; Viridiplantae; Streptophyta; Magnoliopsida; Apiales; Apiaceae. The record is from RNAcentral.
GUGGCAAGAUUUGAUGAUGGAGCAUGAGUUGAUGAUGGAGCGAGAGGAUUGGCCGAUGUCUGUUGUCGGGUUGUGUGGUUGAUCUGUGCCUCUAUGAGAUUGAAGUGAAGCGCGUCUGUGCCAUGUUAGAAGAAGGUGCACCUCCUAACAUACUUCCUCCCUGCAAAAGAUACAACCAACACAACAUAUCGUAUACGAGUAUCAAGAAGAAUAUUUAUCUUACAGCGCGCCCAGUCAGGGGGAGGCGCGCUUCGAUCUAUUGUGUCAGCCGCGGGACUUGCUUCCUU